RNAcentral lists this ribosomal RNA (512 nucleotides) under Shewanella oneidensis. Its description in RNAcentral is "bacterial SSU rRNA". It matches the Rfam family "Bacterial small subunit ribosomal RNA", at positions 372 to 876 of the family's 1533-position model. The record is from RNAcentral. Lineage: Bacteria; Pseudomonadati; Pseudomonadota; Gammaproteobacteria; Alteromonadales; Shewanellaceae.
UGGGCGAAAGCCUGAUGCAGCCAUGCCGCGUGUGUGAAGAAGGCCUUCGGGUUGUAAAGCACUUUCAGUAGGGAGGAAAGGGUAUUGCUUAAUACGUAAUAYCUGUGACGUUACCUACAGAAGAAGGACCGGCUAACUCCGUGCCAGCAGCCGCGGUAAUACGGAGGGUCCGAGCGUUAAUCGGAAUUACUGGGCGUAAAGCGUGCGCAGGCGGUUUGUUAAGCCAGAUGUGAAAUCCCCGGGCUCAACCUGGGAAUUGCAUUUGGAACUGGCGAACUAGAGUCUUGUAGAGGGGGGUAGAAUUCCAGGUGUAGCGGUGAAAUGCGUAGAGAUCUGGAGGAAUACCGGUGGCGAAGGCGGCCCCCUGGACAAAGACUGACGCUCAUGCACGAAAGCGUGGGGAGCAAACAGGAUUAGAUACCCUGGUAGUCCACGCCGUAAACGAUGUCUACUCGGAGUUUGGUGUCUUGAACACUGGGCUCUCAAGCUAACGCAUUAAGUAGACCGCCUGG